AUGCACGCUGGCGGCGUGCCUAAUACAUGCAAGUCGAGCGAACGGACGAGAAGCUUGCUUCUCUGAUGUUAGCGGCGGACGGGUGAGUAACACGUGGAUAACCUACCUAUAAGACUGGGAUAACUUCGGGAAACCGGAGCUAAUACCGGAUAAUAUUUUGAACCGCAUGGUUCAAAAGUGAAAGACGGUCUUGCUGUCACUUAUAGAUGGAUCCGCGCUGCAUUAGCUAGUUGGUAAGGUAACGGCUUACCAAGGCAACGAUGCAUAGCCGACCUGAGAGGGUGAUCGGCCACACUGGAACUGAGACACGGUCCAGACUCCUGCGGGAGGCAGCAGUAGGGAAUCUUCCGCAAUGGGCGAAAGCCUGACGGAGCAACGCCGCGUGAGUGAUGAAGGUCUUCGGAUCGUAAAACUCUGUUAUUAGGGAAGAACAUAUGUGUAAGUAACUGUGCACAUCUUGACGGUACCUAAUCAGAAAGCCACGGCUAACUACGUG
This 496-nucleotide ribosomal RNA is filed under the name uncultured bacterium. RNAcentral describes it as "partial 16S ribosomal RNA". It matches the Rfam family "Bacterial small subunit ribosomal RNA", at positions 29 to 507 of the family's 1533-position model. The record is from RNAcentral.